RNAcentral lists this ribosomal RNA (373 nucleotides) under Nanorana yunnanensis (Yunan spiny frog). RNAcentral's name for it is "partial 12S ribosomal RNA". It matches the Rfam family "Bacterial small subunit ribosomal RNA", at positions 875 to 1398 of the family's 1533-position model. Lineage: Eukaryota; Metazoa; Chordata; Amphibia; Anura; Dicroglossidae. The record is from RNAcentral.
CUCACACCCAUCAACGCCCGGGUACUACGAGCCCCAGCUUAAAACCCAAAGGACUUGACGGUGUCCCAUCCACCUAGAGGAGCCUGUUCUAUAAUCGAUAAUCCCCGCUAAACCCCACCCCCUCUUGCAAUCAGCCUGUAUACCUCCGUCGUAAGCUUACCAUAUGAAUGACCCCAGUAAGCUAAAUGAUUAUAACACCCCAAUACGUCAGGUCAAGGUGCAGCUCAUGAGAAGGCAAGCAAUGGGCUACAAUUUCUAAUCUAGAACAAACGAAACACUGCAUGAAACUCAGCUGUGAAGGCGGAUUUAGUAGUAAAAAGAAAAUAGCGUGUUCUUUUUAACUAGGCCCUGGGACGUGUACACACCGCCCGUC